Molecule: ribosomal RNA, 301 nt
Filed under: uncultured bacterium
Lineage: Bacteria
Description: partial 16S ribosomal RNA
Rfam family: Bacterial small subunit ribosomal RNA
Source: RNAcentral
CAGUAGCGCGGGAAAACGUAGGGCGCAAGCGUUGUCCGGAAUUAUUGGGCGUAAAGAGCUCGUAGGCGGUCUGUCGCGUCUGGUGUGAAAUCCCGAGGCUCAACCUCGGGCUUGCAUCGGGUACGGGCAGACUAGAGUGCGGUAGGGGAGACUGGAAUUCCUGGUGUAGCGGUGGAAUGCGCAGAUAUCAGGAGGAACACCGAUGGCGAAGGCAGGUCUCUGGGCCGCAACUGACGCUGAGGAGCGAAAGCAUGGGGAGCAAAUGGGAUUAGAUACCCCAGUAGUCCCUGUCUCUUAUACA